Molecule: ribosomal RNA, 460 nt
Filed under: uncultured bacterium
Lineage: Bacteria
Description: partial 16S ribosomal RNA
Rfam family: Bacterial small subunit ribosomal RNA
Source: RNAcentral
CCUACGGGAGGCAGCAGUGAGGAAUAUUGGUCAAUGGACGAGAGUCUGAACCAGCCAAGUAGCGUGAAGGAUGACUGCCCUAUGGGUUGUAAACUUCUUUUAUAAAGGAAUAAAACGAGGCACGUGUGCCUUUUUGCAUGUACUUUAUGAAUAAGGAUCGGCUAACUCCGUGCCAGCAGCCGCGGUAAUACGGAGGAUCCGAGCGUUAUCCGGAUUUAUUGGGUUUAAAGGGAGCGUAGAUGGGUUGUUAAGUCAGUUGUGAAAGUUUGCGGCUCAACCGUAAAAUAGCAAUUGAUACUGGCAGUCGUGAGUACAGUUGAGGUAGGCGGAAUUCGUGGUGUAGCGGUGAAAUGCUUAGAUAUCACGAAGAACCCCGAGUGCGAAGGCAGCUUACUAAACUGUGACUGACAUUGAUGCUCGAAAGUGUGGGUAUCAAACAGGAUUAGAUACCCUAGUAGUC